GUGGGGAAUAUUGGACAAUGGGCGCAAGCCUGAUCCAGCCAUGCCGCGUGAGUGAUGAAGGCCUUAGGGUUGUAAAGCUCUUUCACCGAUGAAGAUAAUGACGGUAGUCGGAGAAGAAGCCCCGGCUAACUUCGUGCCAGCAGCCGCGGUAAUACGAAGGGGGCUAGCGUUGUUCGGAUUUACUGGGCGUAAAGCGCACGUAGGCGGUUUGUUAAGUCAGGGGUGAAAUCCCGGAGCUCAACUCCGGAACUGCCUUUGAUACUGGCGAGCUAGAGUCCGGAAGAGGUAAGUGGAACUCCUAGUGUAGAGGUGGAAUUCGUAGAUAUUAGGAAGAACACCAGUGGCGAAGGCGGCUUACUGGUCCGGAACUGACGCUGAGGUGCGAAAGCGUGGGGAGCAAACAGGAUUAGAAACCCGGGUAGUCC
RNAcentral lists this ribosomal RNA (425 nucleotides) under uncultured bacterium. RNAcentral's name for it is "bacterial SSU rRNA". It matches the Rfam family "Bacterial small subunit ribosomal RNA", at positions 354 to 796 of the family's 1533-position model. The record is from RNAcentral.